UGGGGAAUUUUGGACAAUGGGGGAAACCCUGAUCCAGCCAUCCCGCGUGUGCGAUGAAGGCCUUCGGGUUGUAAAGCACUUUUGGCAGGAAAGAAACGUCGCGGGUUAAUACCCCGCGAAACUGACGGUACCUGCAGAAUAAGCACCGGCUAACUACGUGCCAGCAGCCGCGGUAAUACGUAGGGUGCAAGCGUUAAUCGGAAUUACUGGGCGUAAAGCGUGCGCAGGCGGUUCGGAAAGAAAGAUGUGAAAUCCCAGAGCUUAACUUUGGAACUGCAUUUUUAACUACCGGGCUAGAGUGUGUCAGAGGGAGGUGGAAUUCCGCGUGUAGCAGUGAAAUGCGUAGAUAUGCGGAGGAACACCGAUGGCGAAGGCAGCCUCCUGGGAUAACACUGACGCUCAUGCACGAAAAGCGUGGGGAGCAAACAGGAUUAGAUACCCUGGUAGUCCACGCCCUAAAACGAUGUCAACUAGCUGUUGGGGCCUUCGGGCCUUGGUAGCGCAGCUAACGCGUGAAGUUGACCGCCUGGGGAGUAC
RNAcentral lists this ribosomal RNA (537 nucleotides) under uncultured bacterium. RNAcentral's name for it is "partial 16S ribosomal RNA". It matches the Rfam family "Bacterial small subunit ribosomal RNA", at positions 355 to 883 of the family's 1533-position model. The record is from RNAcentral.